GACGAACGCUGGCGGCGUGCUUAACACAUGCAAGUCGAACCGAAAGGCCCUGCUUUUGUGGGGUGCUCGAGUGGCGAACGGGUGAGUAACACGUGAGUAACCUGCCCUUGACUUUGGGAUAACUUCAGGAAACUGGGGCUAAUACCGGAUAGGAGCUCCUGCUGCAUGGUGGGGGUUGGAAAGUUUCGGCGGUUGGGGAUGGACUCGCGGCUUAUCAGCUUGUUGGUGGGGUAGUGGCUUACCAAGGCUUUGACGGGUAGCCGGCCUGAGAGGGUGACCGGCCACAUUUGGACUGAGAUACCGGCCAGACUCCUUCCGGAGGGAGCAGGGGGGGAUAUUGCACAAUGGGCGGAAGCCUGAUGCAGCAACGCCGCGUGCGGGAUGACGGCCUUCGGGUUGUAAACCGCUUUCGCCUGUGACGAAGCGUGAGUGACGGUAAUGGGUAAAGAAGCACCGGCUAACUACGUG
RNAcentral lists this ribosomal RNA (468 nucleotides) under uncultured bacterium. RNAcentral describes it as "partial 16S ribosomal RNA". It matches the Rfam family "Bacterial small subunit ribosomal RNA", at positions 28 to 507 of the family's 1533-position model. The record is from RNAcentral.